UACGGAGGGUGCGAGCGUUGUCCGGAAUCGCUGGGCGUAAAGGGCGCGUAGGCGGCUCAUGAAGGCUGUGGUGAAAGUCCGGGGCUCAACCUCGGAUCGGCCGUGGCGACUCGUGGGCUGGAGCACUGUAGAGGCGGGUGGAAUUCCGGGUGUAGCGGUGGAAUGCGUAGAGAUCCGGAAGAACACCAGUGGCGAAGGCGGCCCGCUGGGCAGUGGCUGACGCUGAAGCGCGACAGCGUGGGGAGCAAACGAGGA
Molecule: ribosomal RNA, 255 nt
Filed under: uncultured bacterium
Lineage: Bacteria
Description: partial 16S ribosomal RNA
Rfam family: Bacterial small subunit ribosomal RNA
Source: RNAcentral